AUGCGAGCUGAGUACGAUGCUCUCGUCGCCAACUGGACCUGGACCCUUGUUCCUCGUCCUCCUGGAGCCAACAUCAUCUCGGGCAAGUGGGUUUUUCGUCACAAACUCCAUCCGGAUGGCUCACUGGAUCGGUACAAGGCUCGCUGGGUUGUCCGAGGAUUUGCACAACGUGCUGGCAUUGACUUCUCUGAGACUUUUUCUCCGGUCGUCAAACCCGCCACGAUUCGUGUGGUGCUUCAGCUGGCUGCUUCUCGUCACUGGCCCGUCCAUCAGCUCGACAUCAACAAUGCUUUUCAAGGAGCAAGUCCUCUGUCAGCAGCCGACUAG
Molecule: ribosomal RNA, 327 nt
Filed under: Triticum aestivum (bread wheat)
Lineage: Eukaryota; Viridiplantae; Streptophyta; Magnoliopsida; Poales; Poaceae
Description: partial small subunit ribosomal RNA
Source: RNAcentral